Jaculus jaculus (lesser Egyptian jerboa) is the source of this 146-nucleotide small nucleolar RNA. Its record names the gene SNORD22. It matches the Rfam family "Small nucleolar RNA SNORD22". From Rfam's summary of the family: U22 is a member of the C/D class of snoRNA which contain the C (UGAUGA) and D (CUGA) box motifs. U22 is encoded within the U22 snoRNA host gene (UHG) in mammals and has also been identified in Xenopus. The record is from Ensembl. Lineage: Eukaryota; Metazoa; Chordata; Mammalia; Rodentia; Dipodidae.
UCCCAAUAAAGAGACUUUCACAGGUCUUACUUCCGUUCCUAGCCCCACAGCCUGAAAGAUGAAACAAAUAGGGCUGGCUGGGGGAAAAGAGGAGGAGAAUAUGUUCCAGAAGGAACUCACUAUCAUCACAGUUUUUGUACUUGGGA